GGGUUUGAUUCUGGCUCAGAGUGAACGCUAUGGGGUGUGCCUAACACAUGCGAGUCGAAUGAAAAUUAUUUUUCAUGGCGUACGAGUGAGUAAUGCAUUAAUAUAAAAUUUUCGCAGCAAGGAAUUCAGUAUUAACAAUUGUUAUUUUAAAACUCCUUAUAAGUUAAAAUAAAUUAAAAUGAAUUUUAUUUCAUAUUUUUUAUGGGGUAAAGUGGUUUUUAACGACUGCUUCAUUCAAUUUAUUUUAUAUAAAGAUUAAUCGUUGUGAAAAGUAAUUAUUGUAAGAUUAUGGUAGUUGGUUUAAUAAAAGGGGACCAAGCCUGUGAUCUUUAGUUGGUCUGGGAGGACGUACAACCACGUUGGGACUGAAAAGGGCCCAAUCUCUGUUGAGGAGGCAGCAGUGGGGAAUAUUGGACAAUGGGCGAAAGCUUGAUCCAGCAACACCAUGUGGUGAAGACAGAUUAUC
This 466-nucleotide ribosomal RNA is filed under the name uncultured bacterium. Its description in RNAcentral is "partial 16S ribosomal RNA". It matches the Rfam family "Bacterial small subunit ribosomal RNA", at positions 9 to 419 of the family's 1533-position model. The record is from RNAcentral.